This 556-nucleotide ribosomal RNA is filed under the name uncultured bacterium. Its description in RNAcentral is "bacterial SSU rRNA". It matches the Rfam family "Bacterial small subunit ribosomal RNA", at positions 271 to 836 of the family's 1533-position model. The record is from RNAcentral.
AGGCUACGACGGGUAGCCGGCCUGAGAGGGCGUCCGGCCACACUGGGACUGAGACACGGCCCAGACUCCUACGGGAGGCAGCAGUGGGGAAUAUUGCGCAAUGGGCGGAAGCCUGACGCAGCGACGCCGCGUGGGGGAUGACGGCCUUCGGGUUGUAAACCUCUUUCGACUUCGACGAAGCCUUUGGGUGACGGUAGGGGUGGAAGAAGCACCGGCCAACUACGUGCCAGCAGCCGCGGUAAUACGUAGGGUGCGAGCGUUGUCCGGAAUUAUUGGGCGUAAAGAGCUCGUAGGCGGUGUGUCGCGUCGGCCGUGAAAACCUGCAGCUUAACUGUGGGCGUGCGGUCGAUACGGGCAUCACUGGAGUUCGGCAGGGGAGACUGGAAUUCCUGGUGUAGCGGUGAAAUGCGCAGAUAUCAGGAGGAACACCGGUGGCGAAGGCGGGUCUCUGGGCCGAUACUGACGCUGAGGAGCGAAAGCGUGGGGAGCGAACAGGAUUAGAUACCCUGGUAGUCCACGCUGUAAACGGUGGGCACUAGGUGUGGGGGCCAUUCCA